GUCGUAACCAGAAUGCCGUACCGAAUUAAAGGUCCGCUGGAUCCACCGAUUAGGGAGACCUACCCACUCAGAUUCUGAAAGCAAUGGCAAACGUUGCAAAUAAGGAUGAGAGUGGGUCAUCCCAAAGGUCGUUGGAGUAUGAGUGUUUCGCUUCCAAACUAUUAAAGGUUCGGUUAUGGGCUAUUAGCUCAGGUGGUUAGAGCGCACCCCUGAUAAGGGUGAGGUCCCUGGUUCGAGUCCAGGAUGGCCCUGGUAAGCUAGGGGGGUUUAGCUCAGUUGGUAGAGCGCCUGCUUUGCAAGCAGGAUGUCAGCGGUUCGAGUCCGCUAACCUCCACUGAGACCGUUACUGGUAAGUUAGUAAGGAGGAGUAAAGUGUAUGUCGGAAGAUUCAGCAAACAUGCGUGCACUACAUGCAGAGUAGUCAUGCUGGAUUCGUCCAGUCAGAACCAUGAAGACUGCAUAGCGAAAUAAGAUUUCUGUCAGGGUGAACGCGUUAAUAAGCUUACNUGUUAUGGCAAAACUGACACCAACGUAAGUUUGGGUCAAGCGACAAAGGGCUGAUG
This 563-nucleotide transfer RNA is filed under the name Aerofilum fasciculatum AP3b. Its description in RNAcentral is "filamentous cyanobacterium AP3b partial contains 16S-23S ribosomal RNA intergenic spacer and 23S ribosomal RNA". The stretch from base 262 to 334 matches the Rfam family "tRNA". The record is from RNAcentral. Lineage: Bacteria; Bacillati; Cyanobacteriota; Cyanophyceae; Oculatellales; Oculatellaceae.